Vitis vinifera (wine grape) is the source of this 1078-nucleotide long non-coding RNA. RefSeq lists it as uncharacterized. The record is from RefSeq and is a predicted model, not a curated record. The transcript is spliced from 3 exons. Lineage: Eukaryota; Viridiplantae; Streptophyta; Magnoliopsida; Vitales; Vitaceae.
AUUGUCGGGGCAUGGAGAGAAAAUAUGACCCAAUUUGGAGAAAAAUUGAUGCAAGAUGGACUCCGCAACUUCAUCGACCUUUACAUGCAGCAGACUAUUAUCUUAAUCCUCAAUUGCGGUAUGGAGAUAAGUUCUCUAAUGUUGAUGAGGUGAGGAAGGGAUUAUUUGAAUGCAUGGAUAGAAUGUUGGAUUAUCAAGAACGUUUAAAAGCUGACAUUCAGUUGGACUCAUAUGACCAAGCAAUGGGUGAAUUUGGGAGUCGUAUUGCAAUUGAUUCUCGAACAUUAAGAAGUCCUACAAGUUGGUGGAUGCGUUUUGGGGGUUCAACACCGGAGUUGCAAAAGUUUGCUAUUCGAGUCCUUAGCCUUACUUGUAGUGCUUCGGGAUGUGAAAGAAAUUGGAGCACAUUUGAAUCGAUCCAUACAAAAAAAAAGAAAUAGACUUGAACAUCAAAGGUUGAAUGCUCUAGUGUAUGUAAGGUACAACACUAGAUUGAGAGAGUGAAGUCUACAAAGGAAACAAAAUGUUGAUCCAACCUUGGUAGAGGAGAUUGAUUCUGAUGAUGAAUGGAUUGCGGAGAAAGAAGAUCUCCUCCUCCCCCUUGAUCUUUGUUGGCUUCAAGAUAAUGAAUUAUUCAAUGUUGAUGCCAUUAGAGUUGUGUCAUCCAACUCCCAAGAGACGCAAGCAUCAUCGGAUCAUAUGGUUUCUUCACAUUCCUACAAAAGGAAACAUAAUGAAGUACCAAGUACAAGUGGAGGCAAAGGCAAAGAGAAGGAAUUGAAUUUGACACCAAUUGAUGAAGAUGAAGAUUUAGAUGAAAUGGGGAUACAUGAUAGUGGACAUUUUCCUACUAUUGAUACAUUGGAUGAGGAUGAUGAUGACCUUGGAGAGGAGGAUUUAAGUUGAAACAAUUUACUCUAGUUGUUAUUUCAUGACUUAGUUAUGGAUUUUUUGUAAAAGUUUAGAACUAUUAUUAUGGUUGACUCUAUUUUCUAUUUCAUGACUUAGUUAUGGCUUUUUGUUAAAGUUUGAAACUAUUAGUAUAGUUGAAUCUAUAAUCUAUUUUAUGAAUUUGUUA